RNAcentral lists this ribosomal RNA (253 nucleotides) under uncultured bacterium. RNAcentral's name for it is "partial 16S ribosomal RNA". It matches the Rfam family "Bacterial small subunit ribosomal RNA", at positions 524 to 776 of the family's 1533-position model. The record is from RNAcentral.
UACGAAGGGGGCUAGCGUUGCUCGGAAUUACUGGGCGUAAAGCGCACGUAGGCGGCUUUCUAAGUCAGGGGUGAAAUCCCGGGGCUCAACCUCGGAACUGCAUUUGAUACUGCAAAUCUCGAGUCCGGAAGAGGUGAGUGGAAUUCCUAGUGUAGAGGUGAAAUUCGUAGAUAUUAGGAAGAACACCAGUGGCGAAGGCGGCUCUCUGGGCCGGUACUGACGCUGAGGUGCGAAAGCGUGGGGAGCAGACAGG